GAGCCAUGAUGUAAAUCAAUAUUACCCUGAACUGAAGUAUAUUUUCAAUAUAUUUCAUGAUGGUUUAUACACUUGAACUGAGCUCU
RNAcentral lists this small nucleolar RNA (86 nucleotides) under Hucho hucho (huchen). RNAcentral describes it as "Small nucleolar RNA U2-30 (ENSHHUG00000021811.1)". Lineage: Eukaryota; Metazoa; Chordata; Actinopteri; Salmoniformes; Salmonidae. The record is from RNAcentral.